This 85-nucleotide transfer RNA is filed under the name Cavia porcellus (domestic guinea pig). The record is from Rfam by way of RNAcentral. Lineage: Eukaryota; Metazoa; Chordata; Mammalia; Rodentia; Caviidae.
AGAGAUUUAGCUCAGUGGUAGAGCAUUUGCCUAGCAUGCACAAAGCCCAGUACCACACACACAAAAAAAGUAGCUACAAUUUUUA